UGAAGCUAAUCCCUGAAAUUUCGCCUCAGUUCAGAUCGGAGUCUGCAACUCGACUCCGUGAAGUUGGAAUUGCUAGUAAUCGCGAAUCAGCAGGUCGCGGUGAAUACGUUCUCGGUUCUUGUACACACCGCCCGUCAAGUAGGGAAAGUUGGGAGUACCCGAAGACGUUUUCUUAACCUGCAAGGGAGAGAGACGGCGAAGGUAAUACCAGCGAUCAAUGCUAAGUCGUAACAAGGUAUCCGUACCCGAAGGUGCGGAUGGAUCACCUCCUUU
RNAcentral lists this ribosomal RNA (273 nucleotides) under bacterium. RNAcentral's name for it is "partial 16S ribosomal RNA". It matches the Rfam family "Bacterial small subunit ribosomal RNA", at positions 1263 to 1533 of the family's 1533-position model. The record is from RNAcentral.